This 507-nucleotide ribosomal RNA is filed under the name Triticum aestivum (bread wheat). Its description in RNAcentral is "partial small subunit ribosomal RNA". Lineage: Eukaryota; Viridiplantae; Streptophyta; Magnoliopsida; Poales; Poaceae. The record is from RNAcentral.
AUGGACCCAAGUGAGAUUUUGAAUGUUCGGUUUCAUAUUGGAGGGAAGUUCAUCCGCAUUGGUCCAAAUUUGGACUAUGUUGGGGGAGAUCAAGCAAUGUCAGAGAUUGAGAGGGAUAAACUGUCACUGCAGGAAGUGAAAGGCUAUUUAAAAGAUCAUACUCAGUUGAUGGAAUCGAUGAAGUUAUAUUUUCUGCUUCCUGGAAAAGAGCUUAUCAAUGGCUUGGUGUUCCUUCAUGAUGACAGUUCUUGUGUGAAGAUGUCUGACUACAUUUGAAUUGGAGGAGUUGCUAAUGUGUGUGUGGAGUAUCAUGGAGAGGAAGAUAGCAAUGACAGCAGCAGUAGUGGGAGUGAUUUUGAGGAUGAACUCAUGGAACAGAGUGAUGAUGAAGAACCAGUGCCAGUAAGUGCUGUUGAACCUGCAGAGUCUGACACUGAUGUGCUCAUACCUGAUGAAACUGGUGUAAUCACUCAAAGAAUUUGCAGCCCCUUGAAGCAGAGAAGAAGC